AUGGCUCACGUACAUGUAGACGAGCUGCUCCACGAAGCAGCAGCGGCAGCUCCACGAUCUCUCUUGAUCGCGAGUGCGGUGCUCUUCUCCCUUGUGGUUGUGCCGCUCCUACUCCGCAUUAUUAGCAAGCAGGGAGCGGCAAGCGAUGCCAAGCUGCUGAGCCUGCUCCCAUCUCCCCCGACGAAGCUCCCCAUCAUCGGGCACCUGCACCUAAUGGGCGAUCUCCCCUACGUCUCCCUCGCCGGCCUGGCCGCCAAGUACGGCCCGGAACUCAUGCUGGUACACCUCGGUGCCGUGCCCACCGCCGUCGUGUCCUCGCCGCGCACUGCCGAGGCCGUCCUGCGCACCCACGACCACAUCUUCGCGUCACGGCCGCGGUCGAUGGUCUUCGACAUCAUCAUGUACGGGCAGACGGACUCGUGCUUCGCGCCCUACGGCGAGCACUUCCGGAAGGCCAGGAAGCUGGUGACGGUGCACAUGCUCAACGCCAGGAAGAUACGGUCCCAGCGCCCGGCCCGGGUGGAGGAGGUCCGGCUAGUGAUUGGAAAGAUCGCCAAGGCCGCGGCCGCGCGCGAGGCCGUGGACAUGAGCGAGCUCCUGCACUCGUACGUCAACGACCUCGUUUGCCGUGCUGUGUCGGGCAAGUUCUCCCAGGAGGAGGGGCGGAACAAGCUGUUCCGUGAGCUCACCGACAUCAACGCGGCGCUCCUGGGAGGGUUCAACAUCCUCGACUACUUCCCGAGCCUGGGGAGGUUCGAGUUGGUCUGCAAGAUGGCCUGCGCCAAGGCCCGACGGGUGAGGAAGCGGUGGGACCUGCUCCUCGACAAGCUAAUUGACGACCAUGCAGCAAGGAUGGUAAGCCGUGAGGAUGAGGCCCAGCCGGCGCAAGAGGAAGACAAAGACUUCAUCGACGUAUCCCUAUCUCUUCAGCAGGAGUAUGGUCUCACCAGGGACCAUAUCAAGGCCAUCUUGAUAGACAUGUUUGAGGCCGGCACGGACACCUCGUAUAUGACGCUGGAGUUUGCCAUGGCGGAGCUCAUACGGAAGCCACACCUUAUGAAGAAGCUGCAGGAAGAGGUAAGGAGGAAUGUACCAAACGGGCAAGAGAUGGUCGCCGAAGACGAUCUCCCCAACAUGACCUACCUCAAGGCUGUCAUCAAGGAGACACUCCGGCUGCACCCGCCGGUACCUCUCAUGAUUCCACACUUCUCCCUAGACGCCUGCACCGUUGAUGGCUACACGAUCCCAGCAAACACUCGUGUCGUUAUCAACGCCUGGGCACUCGGCAGGCACAGUAGCUACUGGGAAAAUGAAAAUGAAUUCCAACCUGAGAGAUUUAUGAAUGGAGCCGGCGUUGAUCUGAAGCCAAAUGAGUUCCAUUACUUGCCAUUUGGGUUUGGACGUAGAAUGUGCCCUGGGGUUCACUCGGCAUCAGCAACGGUCGAGACAAUGCUGGCAAACCUCAUGUACCGUUUCGAUUGGAAGCUUCCACCCGGAUUGAAGGAAGAGGACAUAGAUAUGACUGAAGUGUUUGGAAUAACAGUUUCAAGAAAGGAAAAGCUCAUCUUAGUCCCCGUGACCGCAUGA
This 1587-nucleotide ribosomal RNA is filed under the name Triticum aestivum (bread wheat). Its description in RNAcentral is "partial small subunit ribosomal RNA". Lineage: Eukaryota; Viridiplantae; Streptophyta; Magnoliopsida; Poales; Poaceae. The record is from RNAcentral.